GAAUAUUGCGCAAUGGGCGAAAGCCUGACGCAGCGACGCCGCGUGGGGGAUGAAGGUCUUCGGAUUGUAAACCCCUUUCGGGAGGGAAGAUGGAAUGGGGUAACCCAUUUGGACGGUACCUCCAGAAGCAGCCACGGCUAACUUCGUGCCAGCAGCCGCGGUAAUACGAAGGUGGCAAGCGUUAUUCGGAUUUACUGGGCGUACAGGGAGCGUAGGCGGUUCGGUAAGCCCUUUGUGAAAUCUUCAGGCUUAACCUGGAAAAGUCGGAGGGGACUGCCGGGCUAGAGGACGGGAGAGGAGCGCGGAAUUCCCGGUGUAGCGGUGAAAUGCGUAGAGAUCGGGAGGAAGGCCGGUGGCGAAGGCGGCGCUCUGGAACGUUUCUGACGCUGAGGCUCGAAAGCGUGGGGAGCAAACAGG
This 417-nucleotide ribosomal RNA is filed under the name uncultured bacterium. Its description in RNAcentral is "bacterial SSU rRNA". It matches the Rfam family "Bacterial small subunit ribosomal RNA", at positions 359 to 776 of the family's 1533-position model. The record is from RNAcentral.